AGUCGCCGCGGUAAAACGGAGGGUGCAAGCGUUAUCCGGAUUUAUUGGGUUUAAAGGGUCCGUAGGCGGAUCUGUAAGUCAGUGGUGAAAUCUCACAGCUUAACUGUGAAACUGCCAUUGAUACUGCAGGUCUUGAGUAAAUUUGAAGUGGCUGGAAUAAGUAGUGUAGCGGUGAAAUGCAUAGAUAUUACUUAGAACACCAAUUGCGAAGGCAGGUCACUAAGAUUUAACUGACGCUGAUGGACGAAAGCGUGGGGAGCGAACAGGAUUAGAUACCCCAGUAGUCCCUGUCUCUUAUACA
RNAcentral lists this ribosomal RNA (301 nucleotides) under uncultured bacterium. RNAcentral describes it as "partial 16S ribosomal RNA". It matches the Rfam family "Bacterial small subunit ribosomal RNA", at positions 510 to 808 of the family's 1533-position model. The record is from RNAcentral.